RNAcentral lists this ribosomal RNA (858 nucleotides) under Eubothrium crassum. RNAcentral describes it as "eukaryotic LSU rRNA". It matches the Rfam family "Eukaryotic large subunit ribosomal RNA", at positions 171 to 638 of the family's 3401-position model. Lineage: Eukaryota; Metazoa; Platyhelminthes; Cestoda; Bothriocephalidea; Triaenophoridae. The record is from RNAcentral.
CCAGCUUUGAGUAUGGUUUCUGGAUUUGGCCCUUAGAGGGUGAAAGGCCCGUCCGAAUGGAGGAUAAGAAAAGUGGGCAGUUCACUAUGCCGGCCUUCGAGUCGGGUUGUUUGAGAAUGCAGCCCAAAGAGGGUGGUAAACUCCAUCCAAGGCUAAAUACUAGCACGAGUCCGAUAGCGAACAAGUACCGUGAGGGAAAGUUGAAAAGUACUUUGAAGAGAGAGUAAACAGUACGUGAAACCGCAUAGAGGUAAACGGGUAGCGUCAAGCUGCAAGCCUAGAGGAUUCAGUCGGUCAGGAUUUCGAGUAUGCGCCUGGCGCAUCUACAGUCAGAGUGUGAUAUUGUGGUCCACUGGUUAAUAGUGGGUCCGGCCGCAAGGUUGGAAUUUGCGUUCCGUAUAUGUGCGGAGCUUGCCACUUGUCUAGGGACUGUCUGACCGAUGCACUUUCUCUAUGGUGAACACCACGACCAGUGGUACUGCCAGUCUGCUGUAGCCAAGUCUGGUUCAGUCGGCAUUUAUGUUGGCUGGGCUGUGAUCAUAGGCAAACUCAGUGAACGGUGUUCGGGUGUUUACGCAUUCGUUCAUGCUAUCGGACACUGGUUGUCAACGGGUCUGUCUGUCGACAAUUGUAGUAGUUGGCAGAUGGCCUGGUGGGCUACGGUGGUAAGAAUAACUGUGCAGGGCACUGGGGAUUGCGGUCUCAAAUUUGGUUCGCGCGCACACUACAAGUGUAUGUGGGGUGUCGUUGCAGUCUGCCUGUGGUCGGGCUUGAUCGUCGUGUUGCCUGCGCAAAGUGGGUCCGGCGGUAGCCUGAUCUUGGAUGGUAUUGUUGACGGCAUUCUCUGCGUGGACUGAU